Molecule: ribosomal RNA, 253 nt
Filed under: uncultured bacterium
Lineage: Bacteria
Description: partial 16S ribosomal RNA
Rfam family: Bacterial small subunit ribosomal RNA
Source: RNAcentral
UACGAAGGGUGCAAGCGUUACUCGGAAUUACUGGGCGUAAAGCGUGCGUAGGUGGUGAGUUAAGUCUGAUGUGAAAUCCCCGGGCUCAACCUGGGAAUGGCAUUGGAUACUGGCUCGCUAGAGUGCGGUAGAGGGUGGUGGAAUUCCCGGUGUAGCAGUGAAAUGCGUAGAGAUCGGGAGGAACAUCUAUGGCGAAGGCGGCCACCUGGACCAACACUGACACUGAGGCACGAAAGCGUGGGGAGCAAACAGG